GAGAACAAAGAAAAAGGUGUGUCAAACGCGAAGGAAAAACAGAAGUGAAAAAUAAAAAAUGGCAAAAACCAUAAAAGACAUAAUGUAAAAAAAUAUUGAGCUAAAUAACAAAAUCCUCACUCCUCGUUUAGGGCACGAGGAGUGAUAAUAUAAGGGGAAGGCGAUUGUUAAUGUCACCUCUCUCCCUACCCCAAACAUUAUUGAUAAUGUAGGCAAACAUGCAUUUCACCCCACCUCCACAUCCAACCUUCAUCCAACUCCGGGACAGUCAGAGCCGUGACGUAAUGAGCUAAUAUUGGAGCCAAACGGUUAGAUUGAUUGAAGACAUCGAAGGCUGUAGACUGCAUUUGGCAUCGCUGUGGCAGCAGCUAUGAAUAUGAACAGACAGAUUUGAAAAUCAGAAUUGCUUAAUAUUUCAUCGGAAUCGUAUGUGUGAAGUCGGAAGAAAAUACUGCUGAAAGAUCUUUCCUACUUUCUUAUAAAACCAUGACUAUUAAAAUGAUUUGAAACUGUU
This is a long non-coding RNA of Octopus bimaculoides (California two-spot octopus), 514 nucleotides long. RefSeq lists it as uncharacterized. Lineage: Eukaryota; Metazoa; Mollusca; Cephalopoda; Octopoda; Octopodidae. The record is from RefSeq and is a predicted model, not a curated record.